Molecule: non-coding RNA, 168 nt
Organism: Theobroma cacao (cacao)
Lineage: Eukaryota; Viridiplantae; Streptophyta; Magnoliopsida; Malvales; Malvaceae
Source: RefSeq, a predicted model, not a curated record
UGGAAAUUCAAAGAAAAAGUGAAGAAAUCAAGGAAACAAACUAGGUAGUGAGACGUCCCGAAAAGGUAAAAGAAUUGCGUCUGAAGACUAUUAGUCCGAGUGCACCCGGAAUCUAGAUUUUCGACACCUAUCACGAGGCAGCCUAUAAUUAGGACGAGGUGUCCUUCU